GAAUCAUCCAUCCUGAUUGGUUAAACAUUUCGAAAUACUCUCUUCUCAUUGAGGAUAUGUGAGUAGCUGAGGCAAAGUGGAUGAAAAAUUGACUUUUCCUCAUUAUAAAUACGCUAUGUUAAAGUGCUAACAUUUUGCACAAAGAAAGGGCAUAAGGACGUAAAUGUUUACAAUUUAGGUAAUAUAAAAUAUAAAAUAUAAAAUGAAAGAAGUUAAAUAAAAAAAUAAAAUACGUGGCACGAUAUGUCGUCCUUGUAUUCUUGUUUACAGUUUACGUACUUUAUAUGUUUAACCUUUUAAUCUUAUAUUU
Long non-coding RNA from Eurytemora carolleeae, 310 nucleotides. RefSeq lists it as uncharacterized. The transcript is spliced from 3 exons. The record is from RefSeq and is a predicted model, not a curated record. NCBI's taxonomy places the organism in Eukaryota, Metazoa, Arthropoda, Copepoda, Calanoida, Temoridae.